AAAGUUAUGUAGCAGGUGACGUGCAGGUAACAAAUGACUCGGCGUGCGGCCUUGUGGUCUAUGACGACCAACUCAUCGACACAUCACUUUCGUGAUCGCCAGCCAACGCCACAGACGCCAUGUCUCGCAGUCACUUUUUCUUGAUCGCCCUGUCGCUCGCCGUGGUGGUGGCGUAUUGUUCCGCGAUUCCGGUGGAAGUGGACGAGGUUGCUGCCAAUCCAGUAACCAUUGACGAAUCAUUAGCUCCCAACGAACGACCGAAACGUUAAUUUCUUGCAGGACUCUUGAUUGGAAAAGCUCUUGGUACUGGGUACGGUUACGGAUUGGGUCGGUCAGCUCAUUACGGAGGCUAUGGAUACCCCGGCCACUACUACGGGAGACCUUACGGCUAUGGAUACGGAGGCCACCACUACUGGUAGAAAGAAGAUGGACUAAUAUUUUUACGCACUUUGGCGAAUUUCCAGUUGUCAUUAUUACUGCCAUUAAGUAUAGACAAUGAUUAACAUUAUUUUGAUGGCUUGGCACCAGCUUCAUAUGCAUAUGUACACCGUUUACUAACUUUGAUGGAAUUAUUGGACUGCAAUUCGAGUAAAUAUAAUUUAUUGUUAAUAUUUCGUAAUUA
Molecule: long non-coding RNA, 622 nt
Filed under: Daphnia pulicaria
Lineage: Eukaryota; Metazoa; Arthropoda; Branchiopoda; Diplostraca; Daphniidae
Description: uncharacterized LOC124313551, transcript variant X6
Source: RNAcentral